Molecule: ribosomal RNA, 478 nt
Filed under: uncultured bacterium
Lineage: Bacteria
Description: partial 16S ribosomal RNA
Rfam family: Bacterial small subunit ribosomal RNA
Source: RNAcentral
GAUGAACGCUGACAGAAUGCUUAACACAUGCAAGUCUACUUGAAACACUUUCGGGUGUGGAUGGUGGCGGACGGGUGAGUAACGCGUAAAGAACUUGCCCCUUAGCCUGGGACAACUGUUGGAAACGACAGCUAAUACUGGAUAUUAUGAGACUCUGGCAUCAGAGACUUAUGAAAGCUAUAUGCGCUAAGGGAGAGCUUUGCGUCCUAUUAGCUAGUUGGUGAGGUAAUGGCUCACCAAGGCGACGAUAGGUAGCCGGCCUGAGAGGGUGAACGGCCACAAGGGGACUGAGACACGGCCCUUACUCCUACGGGAGGCAGCAGUGGGGAAUAUUGGACAAUGGACCAAAAGUCUGAUCCAGCAAUUCUGUGUGCUUGAUGAAGGCCUUCGGGUUGUAAAGAGCUUUAAGUAGGGAAGAAGAAAGUGACGGUACCUACAGAAUAAGCGACGGCUAAAUACGUGCCAGCAGCCGCGGUAA